UGGGGAAUUUUGCACAAUGGGGGAAACCCUGAUGCAGCGACGCCGCGUGAUUUAGAAGGCCUUCGGGUUGUAAAAAUCUUUUCUAUGGGAAGAAAAUGACAGUACCAUAGGAAUAAGGACCGGCUAAUUACGUGCCAGCAGCCGCGGUAAUACGUAAGGUCCGAGCGUUGUCCGGAAUCAUUGGGCGUAAAGGGUACGUAGGCGGGUAAGCAAGUUAGAAGUGAAAUCCUAUAGCUCAACUAUAGUAAGCUUUUAAAACUGCUCAUCUUGAGGGAUGGAAGGGAAAGUGGAAUUCCUAGUGUAGCGGUGAGAUGCGCAGAUAUUAGGAGGAAUACAGGUGGCGACGGCGACUUUCUGGCCAGAACCUGACGCUGAGAUACGUAAGCGUGGGUAGCAAACAGG
Molecule: ribosomal RNA, 402 nt
Filed under: bacterium
Lineage: Bacteria
Description: partial 16S ribosomal RNA
Rfam family: Bacterial small subunit ribosomal RNA
Source: RNAcentral